UACAGGGGGUGCAAGCGUUGUUCGGAAUUAUUGGGCGUAAAGCGCGUGUAGGCGGAUCGUUAAGUCUGGUGUGAAAUCCCUCGGCUCAACUGAGGAAGUGCAUUGGAUACUGGCGACCUUGAGUCCUGGAGAGGGUAGCGGAAUUCCCAGUGUAGAGGUGAAAUUCGUAGAUAUUGGGAGGAACACCGGUGGCGAAGGCGGCUACCUGGACAGUGACUGACGCUGAGACGCGAAAGCAUGGGUAGCAAACAGG
RNAcentral lists this ribosomal RNA (253 nucleotides) under uncultured bacterium. RNAcentral describes it as "partial 16S ribosomal RNA". It matches the Rfam family "Bacterial small subunit ribosomal RNA", at positions 524 to 776 of the family's 1533-position model. The record is from RNAcentral.